RNAcentral lists this transfer RNA (58 nucleotides) under Apaloderma vittatum (bar-tailed trogon). It matches the Rfam family "tRNA", at positions 8 to 63 of the family's 71-position model. Rfam says of the family: Transfer RNA (tRNA) molecules are approximately 80 nucleotides in length. Their secondary structure includes four short double-helical elements and three loops (D, anti-codon, and T loops). Further hydrogen bonds mediate the characteristic L-shaped molecular structure. tRNAs have two regions of fundamental functional importance: the anti-codon, which is responsible for specific mRNA codon recognition, and the 3' end, to which the tRNAs corresponding amino acid is attached (by aminoacyl-tRNA synthetases). tRNAs cope with the degeneracy of the genetic code in two manners: having more than one tRNA (with a specific anti-codon) for a particular amino acid; and 'wobble' base-pairing, i.e. permitting non-standard base-pairing at the 3rd anti-codon position. Lineage: Eukaryota; Metazoa; Chordata; Aves; Trogoniformes; Trogonidae. The record is from Rfam by way of RNAcentral.
UAGCUCAGUCAGUUGAGCGUAGCGCUAACAAUGCUAAGGUCGCGGGCUCGAUUCCCGU